AGAAUCUACAGGUCGAGCAAGUCUCGUAAAUUUCACGAUUGCGAGCCACGCUUCACGCAACCGUGUUUGCGUACUUGUGUUUCGAGUUGCGUGGUCGUGCGGAGUUAUAUUUACCAAAUUUAAAUCCGUUCCAACAUGCUGUCAAAAUUAAAUCAAUAUGUCAAUAUGGCUACUUGGUGUAAAAGAUAAAUCUUAUUCUAUCUGUUCUUAAUGAGUUUUAGAUAAUUUUAGUUGUAUUUCUUUGUAAUUUUGUGUUGUACAAAGAUUAAUUUAACAUUUUCUCUGGAAGUAUUAAUUUAGAAAGAUAAUAUGCUUCAUUGGUGUUGUGUUUUGAAGUGUGAAAUGCAAAGUAAUUGUGAUAAAGUUCACUUUUAAACUGAACUAAAUAAGGUAUCUGAGAGACAAGAGACAACAAUGGUUAAAUGCAAUACAAUGUACAGGUUUUACUACGAAAUGAAAAUUUUCCUGUCCUGUCUGCUGUAAUCAUUUUAUAUCUGGAAAAUCAGCCGACUUAAUCGAUAAUAACAAUCUCCAGAUUGGGUUCCUUCAAUAAAUAUGGGCUAUAAACACAAUGAAAUAAGUUCCCCAAAAUCUAAAAUGGAGUGGUAUCAAAGGAGAAUUAAAGGAAAAAAUAUUCAUAUUGAAAUUAUUUAUAAGGCACUGGACUGUCUUAAAUUCUACAAUAAAACUAGCAAACAGUCAAACUAGUCAAAAACCAUCAGCAAACAGUUGGUCAGUAAAAGAACAUAAUACAGUCAACCGAUGUGAAGUUAUCCAUAGAUUCCAUCCAUAGAUUUUUUUUUCAAAAUAUCGCAAAAAUACUGGGACAAUAGUACUACCAAGCAAGUAUAUUAUUAAAUUAAAGGAAACCAAUAGUAAAACUUAUACUUAAUAUAAAAUUUUAUAUUAAAACCAAUUUUCCACA
Molecule: long non-coding RNA, 925 nt
Organism: Diabrotica virgifera virgifera (western corn rootworm)
Lineage: Eukaryota; Metazoa; Arthropoda; Insecta; Coleoptera; Chrysomelidae
Exons: 3
Source: RefSeq, a predicted model, not a curated record